UAGUCUAACUUCCCUGUCACGGCAAGCCCGACCGUUGCCGUAGCUUCUAAACCAGGGGCUGGGGGAAGCGGUAUUCGUGGCUCCCAUAUUCUCAUUUACCUUGCUCGUGUGCGUAUUAGAUCUGCUUUUGUGCUUACAGACAACUUUGGAUUCUUAUGAUUUUCUCCGGAGCUUUGAUUUUUUUUUUUCUUUUUUUCUUUGUUUCUUUCUUUGCUCUGUACUUUUGCAGGGUGAUGGAUUUUACUAUGCCUCCAUCAACAGGCGCUGGCUGGCAAAGUCGUCGUGUCCCAACGGAGACUCUUAGGCAGGACGGGAGGAGUUCAGAUCCGCAGCCUGCCAGAAGAGCGUCACCCGGGAGGGGUCGCUUGAGCUAUAGGCACUGGUGCCGAAGCCCAGUCGGGCAGUCAAAGGAGCCUUGUCACAGCUGGGAGCUCUGUGGAGAUGUGCGGCCGGCCGUGGAGGAUGAGCUCUGACUUGCGGCAUGGACACAGCUAAGUCCUGGGCUGCAUCAUACGUGAGUGGGGCUGGGAGGUGCGAGGCGGUUGUCCCCUAGGUGUGGUCACUGGUGCUGCUGGCCGUGGACGUUUGCCCACGGAGCUGAGAGGACCAAACAUACUAAUUGCCUGACACAGAGAUGAAUUAGCGCUUGUGGGGUUUCAGGUAGGUUCAGUGCAAGUGCAGCUUAGUGCAGUCCUGUGGAGUGAUGCUUGCACAUGUUCACAUUUGAAUGGUAGCUAAAACUAAGCCUCUGAACAGCAACUGUAACGUGAUUCUGGUGCAUGUCUUCCCAUUCUGCUGUACUUCUAAAGGAAGGGGAAACUUCUUAAGCUGCGGGCAAAACUCCUUGGCUUCUCUUGGCUGUUUCCAUGCUCGUGGGUGCUUUGGUGCUUGUUGCUUAAAGCUGAGGGUUUGGAAUUUUUCACUUAAGGUUUAUUGUUUGGCUUGCUGCUGAGGGUCUCUCACCCAGGAGUUACAGGUUAUUACUUUCCUUUAUGGGGCUCAGUCUUUAUCAGUCAGGCUUUACAGUUUGCUCGUUUAGUGAUCAGGGCGCAGAAUUUAAAAUCCAACCUCAUCCGUAAGUUUUAAAUCCUCAGAAAACACUGGGGUUCCGAGGCUUGCGGUUUGUCACUUAGCAUUCAGGGCUUAUGACUUGCUGAGAAGUGAGAAUGGCUAAAUCCUUAGAUAAUGAACUGUAAGUCCUGAAGCCUAAGCAGCAGGCUGCAAACCCUUCUUUGGGCUUCGUAACCUUCCCCUGUACCCAGCGUUCAGCUCUGCGCACUGACCUGAGCUCUGGGUUCCACGUGACAUAGGCCCAUCACACCGAGACUGGUGGCAUGAUGGGUGAGCUGAGAGGCUCUGGCCUGGGCUAGGGCAGAAGUGCAGACAGGCAAGAUCAUGCAUUUUCCCCUCAACUCUGCGAGCUGAAUCCUAGCCUUGAAGGAAAAAGCAGAGGAGUAGGCUGUCGGCUACUCG
RNAcentral lists this long non-coding RNA (1473 nucleotides) under Dromaius novaehollandiae (emu). RNAcentral's name for it is "lncRNA (ENSDNVG00000018819.1)". The record is from RNAcentral. Lineage: Eukaryota; Metazoa; Chordata; Aves; Casuariiformes; Dromaiidae.